CAGUAGCCGCGGUAAUACGAAGGGUGCAAGCGUUAAUCGGAAUUACUGGGCGUAAAGCGCGCGUAGGUGGUUUGUUAAGUUGGAGGUGAAAUCCCCGGGCUCAACCUGGGAACUGCCUCCAAAACUGGCUGACUAGAGUACGGUAGAGGGUGGUGGAAUUUCCUGUGUAGCGGUGAAAUGCGUAGAUAUAGGAAGGAACACCAGUGGCGAAGGCGACCACCUGGACUGAUACUGACACUGAGGUGCGAAAGCGUGGGGAGCAAACAGGAUUAGAUACCCGCGUAGUCCCUGUCUCUUAUAC
RNAcentral lists this ribosomal RNA (301 nucleotides) under uncultured bacterium. Its description in RNAcentral is "partial 16S ribosomal RNA". It matches the Rfam family "Bacterial small subunit ribosomal RNA", at positions 509 to 807 of the family's 1533-position model. The record is from RNAcentral.